This 27-nucleotide non-coding RNA is filed under the name Homo sapiens (human). The record is from RNAcentral. Lineage: Eukaryota; Metazoa; Chordata; Mammalia; Primates; Hominidae.
UGGACUUUUAGCAUAGUGUGUCAGGUC